UUCCGGUUGAUCCCGCCGGAGGUUACUGCUAUCGGAGUUCGAUUAAGCCAUGCGAGUCUAAAGGUUUCUUCGGAAACCUUGGCGGACUGCUCAGUAACACGUGGAUAACCUACCCUUGGGACUGGAAUAACCCCGGGAAACUGGGGAUAAUACCGGAUAGAUCAGGGAUGCUGGAAUGCGCCUUGAUCCAAAGCUCCGGCGCCCAAGGAUUGGGUCUCCGGCCUAUCAGAUUGUAGUGGGUGUAACGUACCUACUAGCCGACGACGGUUACGGUUGGUGAGAGCCAAGAGCCCGGAGAUGGAUUCUGAUAAAUCCAGAUUCCAGGCCCUUACGGGGUUCCAGCAAGGCGCCGAAAACCCUUUAAACCAAUUGUGCCGAAAAGCAUGAUUAAGGGGAAACUUCCGAAGUGCCCAGUAAUUCUAAUACUGGCCUGACCUUUGUGCCUUAAAACGCACAAGAAUAGCCAAGGGGCCGGGUAAGACCGGUGCCAGCCGCCGCGGUAACACAGGCGGCCCGAUUGUUAGCCGUUUUUAUUGGGUCUAAAGGGUCCGUAGCCGCUUGAUAAGUCUUUUGGGAAAUCUGGCAGCUUAACUGUCAGGCUUCUAAGGGAUACUGUCAGGCUUGGGACCGGAAGAGGUAAGGGGUACUCCAGGGGUAGGAGUGAAAUCUUGUAAUCCCUGGGGGACCAUCUGUGGCGAAGGCGCCUUACCAGAACGGGUCCGACGGUGAGGGACGAAAGCUAGGGGAGCAAACCGGAUUAGAUACCCGGGUAGUCCUAGCUGUAAACGAUGCUCGCUAGGUGUCAGACACGGUGCGACCGUGUUUGGUGCCGCAGGGAAGCCGUUAAGCGAGCCACCUGGGAAGUACGGUCGCAAGGCUGAAACUUAAAGGAAAUGGCGGGGGGAGCACAAAGGGUGGAGCCUGCGGUUUAAUUGGAAUUCAA
RNAcentral lists this ribosomal RNA (943 nucleotides) under uncultured euryarchaeote. RNAcentral's name for it is "bacterial SSU rRNA". It matches the Rfam family "Archaeal small subunit ribosomal RNA", at positions 1 to 916 of the family's 1478-position model. Lineage: Archaea; Methanobacteriati; Methanobacteriota. The record is from RNAcentral.